UACUUUUCUAUGAUAUGUGGUGAAUUUGCACAAGCAUUUCAUCACAGAAAGAGAUUAAUAAUUUGAUUGCCACGAGGGAGACAAUGCCUAGAAAACCGCAAGACACUUGAAAGCCCUGUUAUGAAAACUGACUCAACAUGCACCAAAUGGACCACACACCAUGAGCUAUAGGCCAUACUUCCGGUUAACACGCUGCCAAAUCUAGCCACACUCCACCUCUCAUCUUUAAAAAGCUUCACCAUUUAAGACAUUCACUUCACUCACAAACAUUUUGUACCACCAAGCUUUCUUUGUAUAACAAGUACGUAGUAAUUGAUGUCUUGCAUGUAUUUAUGGACAUGUCUGUUUACUAUUGUUUGCAUGGUAUUUUGCUACUAAGCUUUGUACUAUGUACUUAUAUUUAUGGACAUGUCUAUCACUUAUUUAUCUUGAAUAUCAUUUUUUUCACGUUGCAGACAGGUUCACACUUCACAACAAAUAAAUAUACGACAACAAUUAAUAAAAACUAUACAAUCUGAAAUAACUUAUAAUAAACGACAACAAUAAUCAAUCUUUAUCUUAUUAG
RNAcentral lists this long non-coding RNA (565 nucleotides) under Medicago truncatula (barrel medic). RNAcentral describes it as "long non-coding RNA (MTRU_LNC006329)". The record is from RNAcentral. Lineage: Eukaryota; Viridiplantae; Streptophyta; Magnoliopsida; Fabales; Fabaceae.